Molecule: ribosomal RNA, 450 nt
Filed under: uncultured bacterium
Lineage: Bacteria
Description: bacterial SSU rRNA
Rfam family: Bacterial small subunit ribosomal RNA
Source: RNAcentral
GAACCAGACUCCUACGGGAGGCAGCAGUGGGGAAUAUUGCACAAUGGGGGAAACCCUGAUGCAGCGACGCCGCGUGAGCGAUGAAGUAUUUCGGUAUGUAAAGCUCUAUCAGCAGGGAAGAAGAUGACGGUACCUGACUAAGAAGCCCCGGCUAACUACGUGCCAGCAGCCGCGGUAAUACGUAGGGGGCAAGCGUUAUCCGGAUUUACUGGGUGUAAAGGGAGCGUAGACGGCGGCGCAAGCCAGAUGUGAAAGGCCGGGGCCCAACCCCGGGACUGCUCUGGAAACUGCGUCGCUGGAGUACGGGGGGGGCAGGCGGAAUUCCUGGUGUAGCGGUGAAAUGCGUAGAUAUCGGGAGGAACACCGGCGGCGAAGGCGGCCUGCUGGACCGUGACUGACGCUGAAGCACGAAAGCGUGGGUAUCGAACAGGAUUAGAUACCCGGGUACCA